RNAcentral lists this ribosomal RNA (252 nucleotides) under uncultured bacterium. RNAcentral describes it as "partial 16S ribosomal RNA". It matches the Rfam family "Bacterial small subunit ribosomal RNA", at positions 524 to 775 of the family's 1533-position model. The record is from RNAcentral.
GACGAACCGUGCAAACGUUGUUCGGAAUCACUGGGCAUAAAGGGCGCGUAGGCGGUCGGUCAAGUCUGGGGUGAAAUCUUUCGGCUCAACCGGAAACGUGCCUUGGAUACUGACUGGCUGGAGGGAGGCAGGGGUCGACGGAACUUCCGGUGGAGCGGUGAAAUGCGUAGAUAUCGGAAGGAACACCGGUGGCGAAAGCGGUCGACUGGACCUUUUCUGACGCUGAGGCGCGAAAGCCAGGGGAGCAAACGG